AGUUUUCUUUUUCCCCCCUCAGCUCGUGUUUUUUGGUUUUAGUAGACGGAAACUACCGGACUGUUCAGCUGGGACAGUACACGCCGAUGACGUGUCAGAAAACAAGACAGAAAUUGACAAUGACACAAUCCUCUUAGCAGUUGUGGACGAAACGCCAACUAAUGGGCAAGGCAUUUGAGACCAGCAUGAACAGAUGUUUUCCUGGGAAUUGUUUGCUGUUUUUGGACUUAGUUACACUGUAGUCAUGGCAACAGUUCUGUGUGGUUUGUGCCAGUGGUGUUGCUGAAGCCAUUGCUCGACUGUUGUGGGUAUAAUCAAUGUCAGUGUGUUAUGUAGGCUGCCAUUCAGGUGUGAUUUGACCAGCCCCUCCUCUGAUGUUAUUACAUCCUUUCAAUGAGAAAAUCCAUCCAUAAACAGAGAGACAUAUUGUGUAUCCUCUGUGAACACUUGGUGGUUAACAACGCAGAUAAUAUACUGUUUGAUGGCUUUAAUCAGUUAUGACAGGGCUAUUUUAUCAACACAAACAAAUAUUAAGUUUGCACUGUGCUCCUCUUUCCUCUGUUCAUCUCUCCUUUAAGUGUCUCCCUGGUAGAAGAAGUAGAAGAGAAGUAGUAAAAGAGGGGAGAAAAACAGUGGGAGUGAAAUGUGAAAUGUAAUGACUCAUGCCAGCUAAAUGAGUGCAGUUGAGUUUCCCGUUAAAGCUUCAGACUUCAGAGCCAGAGCAAUCAAAAAAAGAAAAGAAAAAAAGAGAGGCCUAAACGGCCUAAAGACAGGAAAUCUACAAUUAUUUCUUCCUGUCCUUCUGGUACUUUAGGGAUUUUCUGUACUUGUUAUUUUGACACACUUUAAAACUUGCAUGUGCAGCAGUUUAUGAGACAAGGUCAGUGACUUAUGUUGAAAACUGGAAUUUAAGGCCAACAUGUUACUGUAAUGCUUUAAAUUAACAAGAUUAGGAAAUAAAUCAAAAUUUCAGCAUAUUGUGUCUCCACUUAGACGUACUCACAACUACAGUACUUACAACAUACUGUUCAAUAAACAAAAGAGAGUGGGACACAACUUACUGUAUGUACAAAGUGUUAUCAUUUAUUCACAUUUUAAAAAAAGUGAACAAGGUCAAAGCUUAUAGUUCCAUUGUGGUGUUCAUCAUUAUACAGGGUACAUCAUUAAACAAAUAUACAGUUUUGGACUGCAGGUCCUCUCUUUCAUUGUCACUCAGGCAGCACAUCAGUCAAGAACACACACAUACACACACGCACACACACACACACACACACACAGAUGUACAUA
Molecule: long non-coding RNA, 1287 nt
Organism: Scatophagus argus
Lineage: Eukaryota; Metazoa; Chordata; Actinopteri; Scatophagidae
Exons: 2
Source: RefSeq, a predicted model, not a curated record